Molecule: ribosomal RNA, 482 nt
Filed under: uncultured bacterium
Lineage: Bacteria
Description: bacterial SSU rRNA
Rfam family: Bacterial small subunit ribosomal RNA
Source: RNAcentral
UUGAACGCUGGCGGAAUGCUUUACACAUGCAAGUCGAGCGGCAGCGCGGGGGCAACCCUGGCGGCGAGCGGCGAACGGGUGAGUAACAUAUCGGAACGUACCCUAUCGUGGGGGAUAACACAUCGAAAGAUGUGCUAAUACCGCAUACGACCUGAGGGUGAAAGCGGGGGAUCUUCGGACCUCGCGCGAUUGGAGCGGCCGAUGUCGGAUUAGCUAGUAGGUGAGGUAAAGGCUCACCUAGGCGACGAUCCGUAGCGGGUCUGAGAGGAUGAUCCGCCACACUGGGACUGAGACACGGCCCAGACGCCUACGGGAGGCAGCAGUGGGGAAUUUUGGACAAUGGGCGCAAGCCUGAUCCAGCCAUGCCGCGUGAGUGAAGAAGGCCUUCGGGUUGUAAAGCUCUUGCGGCCGGGAAGAAAUCGUGGUCUCUAACAUAGGCCAUGGAUGACGGUACCGGACUAAGAAGCACCGGCUAACUACGU